This 254-nucleotide ribosomal RNA is filed under the name uncultured bacterium. RNAcentral's name for it is "partial 16S ribosomal RNA". It matches the Rfam family "Bacterial small subunit ribosomal RNA", at positions 524 to 776 of the family's 1533-position model. The record is from RNAcentral.
UACGAAGGGGGCUAGCGUUGCUCGAAAUCACUGGGCGUAAAGCGCACGUAGGCGGGUUGUUAAGUCGGGGGUGAAAUCCUGGAGCUCAACUCCAGAACUGCCUUCGAUACUGGCGACCUUGAGUCCGGGAGAGGUGAGUGGAACUCCGAGUGUAGAGGUGAAAUUCGUAGAUAUUCGGAAGAACACCAGUGGCGAAGGCGGCUCACUGGCCCGGUACUGACGCUGAGGUGCGAAAGCGUGGGGGAGCAAACAGG